RNAcentral lists this ribosomal RNA (480 nucleotides) under uncultured bacterium. Its description in RNAcentral is "bacterial SSU rRNA". It matches the Rfam family "Bacterial small subunit ribosomal RNA", at positions 903 to 1397 of the family's 1533-position model. The record is from RNAcentral.
AAAUGAAUAGACGGGGAGGCGCACAAGCAGUGGAGCAUGUGGUUUAAUUCGAUACAAAGCGAAAAACCUCACCAGGGUUUGACAUGUACUUGCUAAGCCUAUGAAAGUAGGCCUCCUUCGAGGGUAGUACACAGAUGCUGCAUGGCUGUCGUCAGCUCGUGGCGUGAGCUGUACGGUUAAGUCCGGUAACGAGCGCAACCCGCGCCAUAUGUUAAAUAAUUCAUAUGGGACAGCCCCACUUUGUGGGGAGGAAGGAGCGGAUGACGUCAAGUCAGCACGGCUCUUACACCCUGGGCUACACACAUCCUACAAUGGCGAAUAACAACGAGCAGCAAGCUGGUAACAGCAAGCAAAUCUCUUAAAUUUCGCCUCAGUUCAGAUUGAGGGCUGCAAUUCGCCCUCAUGAAGUCGGAAUUGCUAGUAAUCGCAAAUCAGCAGGUUGCGGUGAAUACGUUCUCGCCUCUUGUACACACCGCCCGU